UUACGACCAUAUCACGAAUGAAACACCGAUUCUCGUGCGAUCACCGAAGUUAAGCAACGUUGUGUCUGGUUUGCACCUAGAUGGAGGACCGUUUGGCCAUAC
Molecule: non-coding RNA, 102 nt
Organism: Acanthosepion pharaonis
Lineage: Eukaryota; Metazoa; Mollusca; Cephalopoda; Sepiida; Sepiidae
Source: the annotation of a GenBank genome assembly